GGUCGCCCAGCCUUGAAAACACACACGUACCGUCACAUGGUCCCGGGUGCCGUUGAUUUGCGUCAAUGGUCGGAUCCAUGGGGUAUGUGGAGGCCUAACC
This 100-nucleotide small RNA is filed under the name Halomonas cupida. Its description in RNAcentral is "t44 RNA". It matches the Rfam family "t44 RNA". From Rfam's summary of the family: This family consists of a number of bacterial RNA genes of between 135 and 170 bases in length. The t44 gene is found between the map and rpsB genes in all species in the full alignment apart from Shigella flexneri. The record is from RNAcentral. Lineage: Bacteria; Pseudomonadati; Pseudomonadota; Gammaproteobacteria; Oceanospirillales; Halomonadaceae.